AGCAGAGUGGCCUAGAGGAUAGAGCACAGGCCUGGGAAGUCAGAGGCCCUGGGUUCUAAUCCUGGCUGGGCCA
RNAcentral lists this transfer RNA (73 nucleotides) under Ornithorhynchus anatinus (platypus). It matches the Rfam family "tRNA". From Rfam's summary of the family: Transfer RNA (tRNA) molecules are approximately 80 nucleotides in length. Their secondary structure includes four short double-helical elements and three loops (D, anti-codon, and T loops). Further hydrogen bonds mediate the characteristic L-shaped molecular structure. tRNAs have two regions of fundamental functional importance: the anti-codon, which is responsible for specific mRNA codon recognition, and the 3' end, to which the tRNAs corresponding amino acid is attached (by aminoacyl-tRNA synthetases). tRNAs cope with the degeneracy of the genetic code in two manners: having more than one tRNA (with a specific anti-codon) for a particular amino acid; and 'wobble' base-pairing, i.e. permitting non-standard base-pairing at the 3rd anti-codon position. Lineage: Eukaryota; Metazoa; Chordata; Mammalia; Monotremata; Ornithorhynchidae. The record is from Rfam by way of RNAcentral.